Molecule: ribosomal RNA, 468 nt
Filed under: uncultured bacterium
Lineage: Bacteria
Description: partial 16S ribosomal RNA
Rfam family: Bacterial small subunit ribosomal RNA
Source: RNAcentral
GACGAACGCUGGCGGCGUGCUUAACACAUGCCAGUCGAACGGAAAGGCCCUGCUUUUGUGGGGUGCUCGAGUGGCGAACGGGUGAGUAACACGUGAGUAUCCUGCCCUUGACUUUGGGAUAACUUCAGGAAACUGGGGCUAAUACCGGAUAGGAGCUCCUGCUGCAUGGUGGGGGUUGGAAAGUUUCGGCGGUUGGGGAUGGACUCGCGGCUUAUCAGCUUGUUGGUGGGGUAGUGGCUUACCAAGGCUUUGACGGGUAGCCGGCCUGAGAGGGUGACCGGCCACAUUGGGACUGAGAUACGGCCCAGACUCCUACGGGAGGCAGCAGUGGGGAAUAUUGCACAAUGGGCGGAAGCCUGAUGCAGCAACGCCGCGUGCGGGAUGACGGCCUUCGGGUUGUAAACCGCUUUCGCCUGUGACGAAGCGUGAGUGACGGUAAUGGGUAAAGAAGCACCGGCUAACUACGUG